RNAcentral lists this ribosomal RNA (371 nucleotides) under Phascolomyces articulosus. RNAcentral's name for it is "eukaryotic LSU rRNA". It matches the Rfam family "Eukaryotic large subunit ribosomal RNA", at positions 66 to 432 of the family's 3401-position model. The record is from RNAcentral. Lineage: Eukaryota; Fungi; Mucoromycota; Mucoromycetes; Mucorales; Lichtheimiaceae.
UAACAAUGAUUCCCUCAGUAACGGCGAGUGAACAGGGAAAAGCUCACAGUUGGAACCUAGCUGCCUUAGGUAGUUCGGAUUGUAAACUGAAAAAGUGUUUUCCAGGCUAGCCGAGUAAACAAGUUUCUUGGAAUAGAACAUCAUGGAGGGUGAGAAUCCCGUCUUUGGCUUGAGCAUAGUCUUUUGUGUUGCACUUUAAAGAGUCAGGUUGUUUGGGAAUGCAGCCUAAAGUGGGAGGUAAAUCCCUCCUAAAGCUAAAUAUUGGCGAGAGACCGAUAGCAAACAAGUACCGUGAGGGAAAGAUGAAAAGAACUUUGAAAAGAGAGUUAAACAGUAUGUGAAAUUGCUAAAAGGGAAGCGUUUGAAGACAG